AUUAAAUUUGUUGCAGUUAAAAAGCUCGUAGUUGGAUUUCGGAGUGUGAGAGGGUGUUGGUCCGGCGAAAUGCUGUGAUCUGCUCUUCACCUCCUACCUUUCAAACGCACGCCCGUAGCCUCAACUGGUUGUGGAGUCGGGCUUUGGAUCGUUUACUUUGAAAAAAUUAGAGUGUUUAAAGCAGGCGUAACCAGCCUCUGAAUACCGCAGCAUGGGAUAAUAAAAUAGGACUUUGGGCCUAUUUUGUUGGUUUUUAGGUCUGAAGUAAUGAUUAAAAGGGAUAGUUGGGGGUAUUAGUAUUUAGUUGUCAGAGGUGAAAUUCUAAGAUUUACUAAAGACUAACUACUGCGAAAGCAUUUACCAAGGAUGUUUUCAUUAAUCAAGAACGAAAGUUGGGGGAUCGAAGAUGAUCAGAUACCGUCGUAGUCCUAACCUUAAACUAUGCCGACCAGGGAUUCGGAGAAGUUAAAUGGAUGACUCUCCGGGCACCUUGUGAGAAAUCAUAAGUAUUUGGGUUCCGGGGGGAGUAUGGUCGCAAGGCUGAAACUUAAAGGAAUUGACGGAAGGGCACCACCGAGUGGAACCUGCGGCUUAAUUUGACCCAACACGGGAAAACUCACCAGGUCCAGACACAGGAAGGAUUGACAGAUUGAUAGCUCUUUCUUGAUUCUGUGGGUGGUGGUGCAUGGCCGUUUCUAGUUGGUGGAGCGAUUUGUCUGGUUAAUUCCGUUGACGAACGAGACCUUAACCUAUUAAAUAGUCGUGCGAAGUGUGCCGAUUUAUCGGUAACUGCUUUGCAAGAGACUUCUUAGAGGGACUAUUCGAACCUAAGCGAAUGGAAGUUUGAGGCCAAAACAGGUCUGUGAUGCCCUUCGAUGUCCUGGGCUGCACGCGCGUUACACUGAUGCAUUCAACGAGUUUUUUCCUUGUCCUGUAGGGUUGGGUAAACUUUUCAAAGUGCAUCGUGCUGGGGAUAGAUGUUUGUAAUUAUCCAUCUUGAACGAGGAAUUCCUAGUAAGUGCAUGUCAUCAACAUGCGCUGAUUACGUCCCUGCCCUUUGUACACACCGCCCGUCGCUCCUACCGAUUGGAUGGUCCGGCAAGAACUUCGGAUGCCUUGGAUCUCGGUGGAUGUAAUAGUCCGCUGAACCAUUGGCA
Molecule: ribosomal RNA, 1157 nt
Filed under: metagenome
Description: bacterial SSU rRNA
Rfam family: Eukaryotic small subunit ribosomal RNA
Source: RNAcentral